Tachysurus fulvidraco (yellow catfish) is the source of this 774-nucleotide long non-coding RNA. RefSeq lists it as uncharacterized. The transcript has 2 exons. The record is from RefSeq and is a predicted model, not a curated record. Lineage: Eukaryota; Metazoa; Chordata; Actinopteri; Siluriformes; Bagridae.
UAACAGGGCAAGGCAGCAGACAGGAACAAAGGGAAACACAGACAGACUCAUUAGAAUGAUAGAGUGGCUUAUAGGCCAUUUUUUAAAGUUUAAGUGAUUUUAAUCACUUAAUUUUCAUUGUAGGCUAAUAGAAUAAAUUGGCUUUACUGCAGCAAAAUAUUGAUUUAGGAAGUACUCUAUUUCAUGGGAGCCGAGGAAAAUUGUGUCGUGAUGACUUUUGCAAAUGAUAAUAAAACUUGUGUCUUUUGUCUGUCAAAUUUCUGGAUGAAGAAAUACUUUGAUCAUUGUUUAAUUGGUGGAAAAGAACGAAGAGAGAAACAGGUCCCAGGCCGUGAAAGACUCUGUAAAUGCAGAAGACACGUGGGGUCCGUACCAGAUGAUUUAUCUGCUUGCUCCCUUUAGACACGCUUAAUUGGCAGUGAGGAGAAAUGGCUAAUUAGUGACGGUGGAGUGAUUAAGGACACAAGGGCAGGAGCAGCUUUCAACCUGUCAAUUAAAGAAAGCCAGACUUCAGCAUUCUCUGGCACAAUAGCAGCGUCUGACAGGACGAAUAUGCCUUUAGUGGAAAGGAGUGUCUCUCGUACGACAUUCAGCAUUAGUAAAACUGGAUGCUGCUUCAGCGUCUGCUCGGAAGUAAUAACAGCUCAAACAAAGUGGCUGAUUAUAUGCUGCUCGAUGCAGACAUGUUGUGCAUACGACGUCAUUGUAAUAACUGUUAUGGGUUUGAAUAUGAAAGAUGCUUUUAAAUGAAUAAAGGUUGAAUCCGUGGCUCAA